Molecule: ribosomal RNA, 301 nt
Filed under: uncultured bacterium
Lineage: Bacteria
Description: partial 16S ribosomal RNA
Rfam family: Bacterial small subunit ribosomal RNA
Source: RNAcentral
CAGCCGCCGCGGUAAUACAGAGGGUGCGAGCGUUAAUCGGAUUUACUGGGCGUAAAGCGUGCGUAGGCGGCUAAUUGAGUCGGAUGUGAAAUCCCCGAGCUUAACUUGGGAAUUGCAUUCGAUACUGGUUAGCUAGAGUGUGGGAGAGGAUGGUAGAAUUCCAGGCGUAGCGGUGAAAUGCGUAGAGAUCUGGAGGAAUACCGAUGGCGAAGGCAGCCAUCUGGCCUAACACUGACGCUGAGGUACGAAAGCAUGGGGAGCAAACAGGAUUAGAUACCCGUGUAGUCCCUGUCUCUUAUAC